This 2785-nucleotide long non-coding RNA is filed under the name Phoenix dactylifera (date palm). RNAcentral describes it as "long non-coding RNA (PDAC_LNC006594)". The record is from RNAcentral. Lineage: Eukaryota; Viridiplantae; Streptophyta; Magnoliopsida; Arecales; Arecaceae.
AUCAAAUCCUUGCAAGAAAAGCUUCUUCUGAAUAAGCUCAUUUUGGACUUCUGCCUCUGAGAUGAAACCAUUUGGGACAGCUCCUUGUCUCCACUUGAGGUAUUUCAGGAACAUAGCAGAAGCCUUCUCGAUAUCUAGAUCACGUGCACGCAGAAACCUUCUGAGCAUCAGGUUGUCUGCCUCCUGCAUGUUUAAAACCCAGAAAAUACAUCACAGAUGAGAAGUUCCAAGGGAAACGCCUAAAGUCAAAUAGGAGAACUUUCAACCAUAAAGGAAAAAAAUGAGAAUGACAACAAAACAAAAGCAGAAAGUUACACAACAAUCUACGUGAGCGACCAAAAUCUGAACUCCAUAGAGAAAGAUCUAGUCUCCAAAGGUCAUUCAAGAAGAACAAACCUAUCAUUAGAAAAAUAAUUUGAUAUAGUACUAUGGAAUAGAUUAGUUUCAAAGAAAAUGCAUCAAAAGUGCAUAGAUAUCAGCAUCAAUAUAAAGAAAAUGCAUCAAGAGUGCAUAGAUAUCAGCAUCAAUAGAUUUUCGCUGAUUUCAGAUUUGAAAGUAAAGUUGUGCGAUCAUCAAUACGCAUGUACCACAUUAUGAGUAUCAAUCAAUUUAUUUUGUGCUGAGUGCUGAUGUUAGCUCAUGAAGAAAGGUAUGCCACCAGGGAAAAACAUAAUAAACUUGGUUUCCUAAUCCAAGUGAGCUCAGGAAUACAGCUGAUGAUAGGCCUCUAAACUAAUUUGUUAUCUAGGUACACUGGCUUUCUUUAGGAUUGUCCUUAACUUGGAAAAUAUAUUUACAGAUCAUGGAAUAGAGAAAGGGGAAUUGAAUCACAAAUAAUAGAAAUAAAACAUCAUGAAGCAAUCACCAAUUAGAAUGAAAGGUUGAGAGUUGAUUGAUAUAGUACAGCAGAUGUAAUCAAAGCCUAACGACAUCUUAAUAAGACAGGGUACCUUGACCGGUCGUAACAGAUAAUGCAUCCCUUAAUAGUAAUGGCUCGUUAAGAACAACUCAACUUGCAACCCAAAAGGCAAAAAACAAUCAGCUGGGUUACUUUCAAGAUUUAUUCUAUUAUGUAGUCAAGACUACCAUCUAUCCCACAUAAGUCUUCUUGUAGAAAAGUGUUGCAGAAUAGUAUCAUGGUUGACAAAUCAACCAACGAAAUUGUAGAAGAGACAAAUUGAAUCAAGAAAUUAGCAAACAAGUAUCGGAACAAAGUCAAAAAACAUAAAUGGAUGAAAACAGAAUCAACACACACAUUGCAUAAUGGUAUCAUGGUUGACAAAUCAACCAAUGAAAUUGUAGAAGAGACAAAUUGAAUCAAUAAAAUAGCAAACAAGUAUCGGAAAGAAGUCAAUAAAUAUAAAUGGAUGAAAACAGAAUCAACACAAAAGAUAAAAAUAGUAACAGAAAUCAACCAAACAGAGCACAAUGCUUCUUUUUCCUUCCUGGUCUGAACACAGUUAGAUGAUAUAAACAUAAUUAAGAAAUAGGGGGGUCUCAUAAGAUUUGGUGAAAGUAGAUGAAUAAUUUUUCCCAUAAAAUUAAAGUCAAUUAGAUNNNNNNNNNNNNNNNNNNNNNNNNNNNNNNNNNNNNNNNNNNNNNNNNNNNNNNNNNNNNNNNNNNNNNNNNNNNNNNNNNNNNNNNNNNNNNNNNNUUGCAAUGAACUUCUCCUGACCGCUAGGUAUUCUGGCACAUAUGUUGUCGAGAAGAUAUACAAUGAGACGCUUAAACUCAUCGAUAUCUCGCUUGGAGUAGUAGUGUCUAGCAGCAAAGCCAACUACUAUAGGGCGCCCCAUCUUAUCAAAUCCUUGCAAGAAAAGCUUCUUCUGAAUAAGCUCAUUUUGGACUUCUGCCUCUGAGAUGAAACCAUUUGGGACAGCUCCUUGUCUCCACUUGAGGUAUUUCAGGAACAUAGCAGAAGCCUUCUCAAUAUCUAGAUCACGUGCACGCAGAAACCUUCUGAGCAUCAGGUUGUCUGCCUAUACUUAUGGAAGAUCAAGAAAUCCAAAUAAUAGCUAUGUCACAACCCAGGAUCUCCUUUAAAAUAGCUAGUCAGAAGGUACUAUUUGGGUUUACCCAGGAUCUCAUCCAAAAUAGUUAGCUGGAAGAUAUUAUUUGGGUUCCUUAAUCCUCUAUAGGUACCCAAGAUCUAAACCGACAUGGGACUAAACAAACACUCGCACGGGUCCUCAUAGAGAUCAAUUUGUCCAUAAAGUGGGAGAUGUGGAAUGAGUGAACCAGAAGACUUUUCUAUUGAAAUAGUUUUAGUAUUCAUUACGAUUUGCAAACCACAUAUUCUAUUGUUGAAAGAUCACUCUUUGAAUAGUGCUCUUCCCUUUUACUUCAAUCAUUCCAAUUUUCCCCUUUCCUUUUGGUUUCUUCCAUCUCUUUCAUCAUCACAAGCCAGAAAACUACUCUUCGAUGCACCUCCCUCUCUCCCUCCCCCCCCCCCUCCCCCUUUUCUUCCUCCAAUGAAUCUUUUUCUAUCUCUAUUUCCUUGCCAAGAGUAAAUGCACGCAAAAUCAUCAACAAAUAAAGGCCAUAAAAACUCAGCAAAAAAAAAACACCAAAAAGACUAGUCUAAUCAAUAAGAACAAACCCAAAAAAUCUGAAUAAACUGACAAAAAACAAUCCGACUUAGAAUCAAAUAAUACCCAAGCCAAUUAAAAAGGAAAUAAAUCGACAACAAAAACAAAAACAAAAACGGAAAAGAAAGAACAGAGAUAGAUAGAGAGAGGUAAGUUGAAACCUUGGCAGCGGGGUCUUGGCGCUCGACGAGCGACCU